RNAcentral lists this long non-coding RNA (663 nucleotides) under Nicotiana benthamiana. RNAcentral describes it as "long non-coding RNA (NBEN_LNC005583)". The record is from RNAcentral. Lineage: Eukaryota; Viridiplantae; Streptophyta; Magnoliopsida; Solanales; Solanaceae.
GAGAAUGAAGAAAAAAUCCCCCACAAUAAUUAGUUUAUGGGUAGAAAAAUAAAUGGGUAGACAAGGGUAAAUAGUUUUGUUUUUGUGGGUAACUGUGUUAAAACCCCAAAAGAAUUCGACUUAAAAGGUUUCUACACAGUUGUUACUUGUCUAUUCCUUUUUAUGGUAGUUCCUUGUAGUUCCCUUUUGAAAUAGGGGGAUUUAAACUGUUGGUUUCCUAUUAUACAAGAGUAUUUUAGAGUAGCUAGUUGAUCCUUGAAUCUGUUCCAUGUAGGCGUCUUAACACAAUUGGAUGUAUCACCUUCUAAACACCUUUAUAUUUUUUCUGUUAAGCAAGGUACGAUCUGGGCGUCUUACCACAAUUGGAUGUAUCACCUUCUAUACACCUUUAUAUUUUUUCUGUUAUGCAAGGUAGGGUCUGCUUAAAAUUUUACCUGAAUAAUCCCAAUUUUAUUUGCACACACAGCUGGAUUAGACAUGCCUAGUAUUAUUUUCCAGAUCCAGACGUCAUAAUUAGCCUUUUAGACAGAUCUGCUGCUCUUUCUCUCCUCUGGUUUUUAGCAUUCACAUGUGUAUUUAUUUUAUGUUUGUUGAUUUGGACUGUAUCUUAUGGUUGAAAGAAAUGGCACUGUCAUCGGAGGGUAUCAAGAUAUUUGAGCAUGU